CUGCACGCGCCGAGCAGCCGCCUGAGCGCUUGCUUCAUCGAGCCCCUGCCGUUUAGAAGGGGAGCGAGGCUGUAGCCAAGCAGCACCAGCAGAUGGGGCUGUUGCACCGAGCUGGGCCCGCAGCAGUGUCUUGUGUAGGGAGUUCGGGACAGACUAGCUCAGGCCGGUCUAUGAAAGAGAAUUAUGCAUUCGAUAUGAAAUGUCCCCCAAAAGGAAGAAGCUCUGAGGCAGAGAGCAGGCUGCUAGCACCACAGGACACAGAAGUGGACAACGUCCCAAAGGUGUCCAACUUCAGGGCUUUGGGUCCGAUGGCCACAGGCUGCAAGCCCGCCUGCACCAACACCAGCAGCCCUGCACCUCCCUUCAGCUCGAGGUACGCAGCCUGGUGCCGGUCCGCAGCACAGGAGCUCCGACCAUCCUAGGACCUCCGUCUGAUGGCCGUGUCUUACUUCCCAAAAGGGAUGACGUCUACCAGGUAUGGGGCCACUUAAGACUGAAAGCGUGCUUGGAGUUGGAAGGACGGAGGACUUGAGCAUUCCUCACAGAACACACCAGAGCUGGGAGAGCCUGCGAAUCAUCCCGAUCCAUCAUUCUAGCAGUUAAGAACCAGACAGGGCCGGGGUGAGAACCGACUGACUGAAUAUGCACAUCUGGAUUCCCAUGCCUCCCAAAGACCGCUCUCGUUUCACCUGUGAGGAGUGUUCUUACCCCGCCCUUUGGAUUCACGAUCAGACAAAUUGUAUUAGGGGUUUGCCUAUGAAAAUGUUACUGCUUCUGGGUGUGAUGGCAUGUACCUGGAAUCCCAGCUACUUGGGAGACUGAGGCAGGAGCAUCACUGAAAGUUUGAGGCCAGCCAGGGCUGCCUAAUGAGUUCAGGCCCAGCCUGAACUGUACCGUGAGAUCCUGUCUUAAAUCAAAACCAGGGUGGGGAUUUAGCUCAGUGGCACUGAGCCUGCCCAGCAAGCAAGCAAUCCCUGAGUUCAAUCCCCAUAUAGCAAAAAAAAAAAAAAAAAAAAAA
This 1018-nucleotide long non-coding RNA is filed under the name Fukomys damarensis (Damara mole-rat). Its description in RNAcentral is "lncRNA (ENSFDAG00000030613.1)". Lineage: Eukaryota; Metazoa; Chordata; Mammalia; Rodentia; Bathyergidae. The record is from RNAcentral.